ACGUGGGAAUCUACCUAAUAGUAAGGAACAACAGUCAGAAAUGACUGCUAAUACCUUAUACGCCCUUCGGGGGAAAGAUUUAUCGCUAUUAGAUGAGCCCGCGUUAGAUUAGCUUGUUGGUAGGGUAAUGGCCUACCAAGGCAACGAUCUAUAGCUGGUCUGAGAGGAUGAUCAGCCACACUGGGAACUGAGACACGGUCCAGACUCCUACGGGAGGCAGCAGUGGGGAAUAUUGGACAAUGGGCGAAAGCCUGAUCCAGCAAUACCACGUGAGUGAUGAAGGCCUUAGGGUUGUAAAAC
Molecule: ribosomal RNA, 300 nt
Filed under: uncultured Rickettsiaceae bacterium
Lineage: Bacteria; Pseudomonadati; Pseudomonadota; Alphaproteobacteria; Rickettsiales; Rickettsiaceae
Description: bacterial SSU rRNA
Rfam family: Bacterial small subunit ribosomal RNA
Source: RNAcentral